GCUAACAGCCAUAUCACCCUGUAGCCCAAGACUGGUCACCCACUGAAGCCAAGCAGGGUUGAGCCUGGUCAGUACCUGGAUGGGAGACCUCCUCCUGGGAAAACUAGGUUGCUGCUGGAA
RNAcentral lists this ribosomal RNA (120 nucleotides) under Sinocyclocheilus grahami. Lineage: Eukaryota; Metazoa; Chordata; Actinopteri; Cypriniformes; Cyprinidae. The record is from RNAcentral.